UUUUUUAAUUUUUAUUUAUUUUUACUGUUAAAAACUUUUGUAGUUGACAGAAUAAUCAAAUAGUUACAAGCGGAGUGUUACUAUUAUCUCAUUCUGACAUACAAGUAUUAGUUUUUAACAUUAAAAAUAGAUAGAAUUUUAACA
Molecule: microRNA precursor, 144 nt
Filed under: Gossypium hirsutum (cotton)
Lineage: Eukaryota; Viridiplantae; Streptophyta; Magnoliopsida; Malvales; Malvaceae
Description: MIR7502 microRNA precursor family
Rfam family: MIR7502 microRNA precursor family
Source: Rfam by way of RNAcentral